RNAcentral lists this ribosomal RNA (1518 nucleotides) under metagenome. Its description in RNAcentral is "bacterial SSU rRNA". It matches the Rfam family "Bacterial small subunit ribosomal RNA". The record is from RNAcentral.
AGAGUUUGAUUCUGGCUCAGAACGAACGCUGGCAGCGUGGAUUAGGCAUGCAAGUCGAACGUGAUCCGGAAUGUAGCAAUACAGUACGGUGAAAGUGGCGCAAGGGUGAGUAACGCGUGGAUAAUCUACCUCUAAGUUGGGGAUAACCUUCCGAAAGGAGGGCUAACACCGAAUGUGGUCACUUCACAUAAGUGGGGAGGAUCAAAGAUGGGGAUCUUUCGGGACCUGUCGCUUGGAGAGGAGUCUGCGUGCCAUCAGCUAGUUGGUAGGGUAAUGGCCUACCAAGGCUUACGGCUAGCUGGUCUGAGAGGAUGACCAGCCACACUGGGACUGAGACACUGCCCAGACUCCUACGGGAGGCUGCAGUCGAGGAUCUUGGACAAUGGGGGAAACCCUGAUCCAGCGACGCUGCGUGGAGGAUGAAGGCCUUCGGGUUGUAAACUCCUGUCAUUCGGGAAAAACGACUUUGGGAUUAAUACUUCCAGAGAGUGAUGGUACCGAAAGAGGAAGCCACGGCUAACUCUGUGCCAGCAGCCGCGGUAAUACAGAGGUGGCAAGCGUUGUUCGGAUUUACUGGGCGUAAAGGGUGCGUAGGUGGUCGCUCGUGUCGGGUGUGAAAGCCCACGGCUUAACCGUGGAACGGCAUUCGAAACUGGGUGACUUGAGUACAGGAGGGGAGAGCGGAAUUCUUGGUGUAGCGGUGAAAUGCGUUGAUAUCAAGAAGAACACCGGUGGCGAAGGCGGCUCUCUGGAAUGUUACUGACACUGAGGCACGAAAGCUGGGGGAGCAAACAGGAUUAGAUACCCUGGUAGUCCCAGCUGUAAACGGUGUGCGCUUGGUGUGGGGAGAUUUGACCCUCCCCGUGCCGGAGCUAACGCGUUAAGCGCACCGCCUGGGGAGUACGGUCGCAAGACUAAAACUCAAAGAAAUUGACGGGGGCCCGCACAAGCGGAGGAGCAUGUGGCUCAAUUCGAUGCAACGCGAAGAACCUUACCAGGACUUGACAUGCAGCUGCACGUCCGUCGAAAGGCGGAUUCCUUCGAGGGUGCUGCACAGGUGCUGCAUGGCUGUCGUCAGUUCGUGCCGUGAGGUGUUGGGUUAAGUCCCGCAACGAACGCAACCCCUGUUUAGUUGCCACCGCCGCAAGGCGAGCACUCUAAACAGACUGCCUGUACAAAACAGGAGGAAGGUGGGGACGACGUCAAGUCAGUAUGGCCCUUAUGUCCUGGGCUGCACACGUGCUACAAUGGCCGGUACAGAGGGAAGCAAGACCGCGAGGUGGAGCAAAUCCUUAAAACCGGUACCAGUUCGGAUUGAAGGCUGAAACUCGCCUUCAUGAAGUUGGAUUCGCUAGUAACGGCGUAUCAGCUACGACGCCGUGAAUACGUUCCCGGGCCUUGUACACACCGCCCGUCACAUCAUGAAAGCCGUCUGCACCCAAACACGCCGAGCUAACCCGCAAGGGAGGCAGGUGUCUAAGGUGUGGGUGGUGAUUGGGAUGAAGUCGUAACAAGGUA